GAUGAACGCUGGCGGCGUGCCUAACACAUGCAAGUCGAGCGGCAGCGCGGGGUGCUUGCACCCUGUCGGCGAGCGGCGGACGGCUGAGUAACGCGUGGGAACGUGCCCCAAAGUGAGGAAUAACUGCCCGAAAGGGUAGCUAAUACCGCAUAUUAUCUUCGGAUCAAAGGAUUUAUCCGCUUUGGGAGCGGCUCGCGUCGGAUUAGGUAGUUGGUGAGGUAAUGGCUCACCAAGCCGACGAUCCGUAGCUGGUCUGAGAGGAUGACCAGCCAGACUGGAACUGAGACACGGUCCAGACUCCUACGGGAGGCAGCAGUGAGGAAUCUUCCACAAUGGGCGAAAGCCUGAUGGAGCAACGACGCGUGCAGGACGAAGGCCUUCGGGUUGUAAACUGCUUUUAUAAGUGAGGAAUAUGACGGUAACUUAUGAAUAAGGAUCGGCUAACUACGUG
Molecule: ribosomal RNA, 451 nt
Filed under: uncultured bacterium
Lineage: Bacteria
Description: partial 16S ribosomal RNA
Rfam family: Bacterial small subunit ribosomal RNA
Source: RNAcentral